GAGUGCGGGGCGCCGGGCGCGGGGCGCGGGUCGGGGGCUGGGCGGGCUCCUUCUGUGCAGCGGUCGUGGGCUGGGCCGCGGCCCUGAGGGCGGAGGGGCAGAGCGGGGCCGCCCAACCAGUCCCGGGGCGGAUGCGGCGGAGACCGGCCCCUCCCGCGCCCCCGGCCCGGGUUCUGGGAGGAGGGGAGGCCGGUGGCCGUGAGGAGGUUGGGGGCCCUCGCGGAGGCCGAGAGGCUUAAGGAGGCAGAACUGGGGCUCCCUUGCAUCUUCCAGUUACAAAUUCAGUGCCUUCUGCAGUUUCCCCAGAGCUCCUCAAGAAUAACGGAAGGGAGGUAUAGUAAUGGUUAAGAAACUUUGCAAAGAAAGUGAAUAAUGCCAGUACUGUCACCUUUUGGAACUUGUUGG
RNAcentral lists this long non-coding RNA (405 nucleotides) under Homo sapiens (human). Its description in RNAcentral is "non-protein coding lnc-PTK2-7:3". Lineage: Eukaryota; Metazoa; Chordata; Mammalia; Primates; Hominidae. The record is from RNAcentral.